CCUGCUACUAUGCUACCUUGCUAGUGCUACUGCUGAGCCAGUGGAAUUCCACUUUUUGCCCAUGUUUAAACUUUGUCUAACUUUGUGAAUGUGAAGAAUUGUGUGUCGAAGCAAGAACUACGUAUACUACAGAAAUGGGAAUAUGAGUCCAGCUUUCGACUGAGACCGCAAACAUUCAUUAGGCCUACCGAGCAACUGUUCAAGGAUCUGAGAGAUGACUAGGCCUUGGUCUGCUGCCGUGGUGGCUAGUCUGGUGGUGGUUGGUGCUGAGCAGACUGUAGCAUACUACAUGUACCUGGCUGUGGUUCUAGUCCAAUUUCUGAUUAUAUUGGCAACCAGGAUAAGAGAGAUGACUUGGCCCUGGGUCUGGGAUCCACCUCCACCCUGAUGGAAGAGAACACCAAGUAUUGGUUGACAGGCUCUGCUGUUGCCGUGGUGUCUGGUCUGGUGCUGGUGGGUGCUAUGGCAGAGCAGACUGCAGCGUACUACAUGUACUUAGCUGUAGUUGUAACUGUUGGUCACAUUGGCAACCAGGUGUAGAGUCUGUGGACAGACACAACCCUCAAGUUUACAAGGACAAUCUCUGCUUCCAUACUACUUCCUGCCUACAUGUACCAAGAGGUGUCAUCUCUGCAAAGAACGGAGAAGUUCUGUUCCUGCCGGCACAGUGGGAAAAUGUGGCUUCUGCUACUCUUGCACUGGGAAUUGUCAUCACAGCAGAUUUAACUGAAGGAGAGACUUUGUCAGUGACUCAUCCAGAACACUGCAGCUAGAAGAGGAAGAGACUUGUCAAGGAUGAUCAAUACAUGGACAGUUUGUUCCUGAAGUUGUGUUGCUGUGCACAUCAAUAUAGCAGUCUUUUGUUGAUGCGAGCCCAAAUGCUGUGUUAAACCAACAAGGGGACUUGUACCUUAUUAUCUUCUGAAGUGGACAUUUAGACCGUCCUUUCACAACAAGCUCUGAAGAAUUCUUUGCUGCUCAAGGCUGCUGAUAUAAAACUUGCCCGUUACAGUGCCAACUGAAAAGACAUUAAUGGAGAAAUUAGUUUGAACGAAAAAUUGACUGUGGAUAGGACAAUGGCGUCGAGCUAGUUUCCCAAUCACAGUGGAACCAUUCAGCAUAAACUACCAAUUUUAAAGAGUGCCAAUUCAUAAACAAAUUCAUAAAUUUUAUGCGGUACAUAGGGAGAUAUUUCCAUUGUCUUUUGGGACUUUCAUCACAGUGAAAAUGGAAACAUUCACUGGUAUAAGAACCAAAGCACAACCAAAAUGAAUGUUGAAAUGUUAAUUCAUUUUUAAAGAAUAGUUUCCUGGACUUUGGACGCAGAAGAGACACAUUUUGUAGGAAAAGCAAUAAUCCACUAAAAUGGAAUGAAACAUUUUGCAUCCAUUCCUUAUAAUUUCUCUUUCUGAAUUUUGUUAUCAACCAGCCCCUCACAACCGUCUCUUGAAAGAAGGCAGAUCAAAACAGUGAAAAGAAAUUCUGAAGCCCUAAAAAAUAUGAAGGAGACUUGUUUUUAAACCUUUUCAGGAACAUUUUUAAGUAGUAAACUACAUGCAGUGCAGUGUAUUUUUCUUAUUUCUAGCUUGCCAAAAGAAACUAUCUUUGCAGACAACUAUUGAGCAAAAUGUUACAUGUGUAUGUGAGGGCUGGUUCCCGGAAAGAAAUUACUUUUAUACAUGUAAAUCAAUUGCUAAUUGCCUAAAUGGUAAAACCUUCAAAAGCUGCGUCUAACAUUGGUCAAUUUUGCUACAGCCAAGAAUCAAAUAUUUCCAAAAAUGUUUUCAUGUGUAACCAAUUCCCAGGAAAGUUCAUUGGGAUAAUCUGGUGUUUGAAUUAGACCGUGUCUUUUUUAGCAUGUCAAAAUGCUCAUCCUAUCAUGUAGACUUCUUAAAUAAGGUUUUGUCAGAAAAAACUCAUCUUUAAAAGAUCGCUUGUGAAGAUAACUGGAGUAUACUGGUAAAAAUGUUGAGGCCAAAGCGCCACGUCUUAUCAGACUCACACUUUUUGGCCAAAAAGUUUCCCAUACGCCAUCACUUUAGCCAUUCCAGUUUACUUGCCGUUUGCUAUUCUAAACAGCGAAAAAUGUAGCCAAUUUUUAUGAUGUUACAGUUAUUUGCUUACUUUUGCCAAAUCAAGAAACCAAAGUGCACCUUCAUUCGUAAUUGUUCCCACACCAAACAUGUAUCUGAAUUACCCAUCUUAGACGCAGCAGUUGGAGUAUAAUCAGCACAGAUUGAAACCUUCCAAAAUUGAUUCCAUUAGAUGGUGCUAAGAGUCGUCGGAAGAAACUGCAUGUACAUUCAGAUGUCAGUUUCUGUCAAGCAAUCUGAAAACUCAUUUCUAACCCCUUCACUUCAUCAAUAAUUCAAGCACAAAGUGUGAAAAAACCUUCAGGUAUGAAGUAUGCCUGGAAUUUCUAUUUGUUCUUUUGACAGGCCGUAAUAAUACUGUUGUGGUCAGUAUUACUCUCUACGAAGUCAAAUGGAUUGCCUUUUACUUUGAAACAAGGAUCAUGAAAAUUAAUGUGUAUUAAAAAACACAGCAGGUAUCCUCUGUAAGUUAAGUGCUGAUUAUACUCCAUUUACAUUUGUGUACUGAAAAUUUACUCUGAUUUUUACAUUUUUGUGUUUUACCAUCAGGCAAACCAAAUCAAAACCAAAGCCCAGCCACAUGCAGGCCCUCCUGGUGCGUGCACGUGUGUUCCCUGCCCGCAGACGCUGACAGGUUGGUGGUUGCCCGCUAUCUGCAUCGGCUUG
RNAcentral lists this long non-coding RNA (2759 nucleotides) under Acanthaster planci (crown-of-thorns starfish). RNAcentral describes it as "uncharacterized LOC110984065". Lineage: Eukaryota; Metazoa; Echinodermata; Asteroidea; Valvatida; Acanthasteridae. The record is from RNAcentral.